RNAcentral lists this unclassified non-coding RNA (1036 nucleotides) under Ixodes scapularis (black-legged tick). Its description in RNAcentral is "uncharacterized LOC120837521, transcript variant X1". The record is from RNAcentral. Lineage: Eukaryota; Metazoa; Arthropoda; Arachnida; Ixodida; Ixodidae.
GCGUGUUUUGUUCGGCGCAUUUCACGGCCGACGCAUACGAGGACAAGGUAUGGCUUAAAAAGAGUAUGGGCAUGGACUACAAGCCACGACUGAAGCAAGACGUUGUGCCAACCAUUUUCUCGCACAAGAGGAGACAAGCUCAGCGCACACUGGGUGCAUUUGCGAAGAGAAGGCGGAUGGAGACUGUUUCAAAGCUUCUCUCUUCACCGGCUGGACCACCCACAAGCUGCUCUGUUGCUGUACAAAUACCAGCAGAGCCGCUGACUCAGGCCAUGAACUGCACCGGGUCAGUGGCUGUGGGGGCAGCGGAUGGCGAUUGUCCAGAUGCAAGUGCUCCCCUAGACUUCAGUGUUCCAUUUGUAAACAGCGACACCUCACAGUCGUCUAAGCAGGAUAAAAAUGUGCAGGUGUUGGUGAGGCCAGGGACAAAGUCUGCACACAUUCAAGGGUGCAGACAUUCUUUCCAUACACCAAUGCAGCUUGCCAGACAAAUCAAUGGAAGCCAAAAGAAGCUCAUCUAGAGGACAGCUGUGACGAGUUGGGCAAACCAGACGCAAGCAGGGAAGAUCCUAGAGCCAAGCAUGACAAGGACUACGUCCCCUCAGAGGAGUACCAAGAAAGGAGGACAUUGUCUCCUGGCUCGAGGGAAGAAGAAGAAGCAGGGACCAUGGAAUCCUGCGCUGCAACGAACUGACCAUACCCAACGUCAUUGCAGAGAGGUGGCACAACCAGAGCGUAACGAAGCAAACACAGUGAGUGAACCAUCGAAUGAAACAAUGUGUUAAAACAACAUACAACAGUGCACCUUAUUUUUCUUUGUGAAUGUGUUCCGACCCCGUGGACAUGAAGGGGGAGACCGCAACUCCGACGGGGGGCCAGCUGUGUUUAUACCUCUGGCAAGGAGGGGUGCUCAGACAGGAGAGGAGGACGAUCGUUUGCUGAGCGUCUGCUGCCGUGGGGCCUCGACCACCCCCGCGGGCUCUGGGCGUUGCCCGGGAGGGUGAAAGAAGACACUCAGCUUCCAGGCACCGAUGAA